UUAAGCUAAUAAGAGCGCAGGGAGGAUGCCUUGGCAUCAGGAGCCGAAGAAGGACGUGGUAAGCUGCGAAAAGCUACGGGGAUUGGCAAGCACGAUAUGAUCCGUAGAUGUCCGAAUGGAGCAAUCCACAUGGAGUCAAGUCCAUGUAUCAUAUACUGAAUAAAUAGGUAUAUGAGGGGAACCGCCCGAACUGAAACAUCUAAGUAGGGCGAGGAAAAGAAAUCAACCGAGAUUCUGUGAGUAGUGGCGAGCGAAAGCGGAAGAGGCUAAACCGAGAGGAGCAAUCCUUUCGGGGUUUAGGACUGCAUUUAGUACAACGAUUGUUAACCGAACAGCAUGGGAAGGCUGAUCAGAGAAGGUGAGAAUCCUGUAGGUGAAAACGAAAGUUGAUGAGCAGUAUCCAAAGUACCGCGGGGCACGUGAAAUCCCGUGGGAAGAUGGGGGGACCAUCCUCCAAGCCUAAAUACUACCUGAUGACCGAUAGCGAAUAGUACUGUGAAGGAAAGGUGAAAAGCACCCCGGGAGGGGAGUGAAAGAGAACCUGAAACCCUGUGCUUACAAGCACUUAGAGCACGUCAAAGUGUGAUAAGGUACCUAUUGUAGAAUGGUCCGGCGAGUUAUUGUAUGCAGCGAGGUUAAGUAGUUCAGCUACGGAGCCGAAGUGAGAGCGAGUGUUAACAGCACGUUCAGUUGUAUGCAAUAGACCCGAAACCGGGUGACCUAUCCAUGUCCAGGAUGAAGUGAGGGUAAAACCUCAUGGAGGUCCGAACCCACUCCCGUUGAAAUGGUAGGGGAUGAGGUGUGGAUAGCGGAGAAAUUCCAAUCGAACCCGGAUAUAGCUGGUUCUCCCCGAAAUAGUUUUAGGACUAGCCUCGUGAUUAAGAUUAUCGGAGGUAAAGCACUGAAUGGCCUAGGGGUCGAGAGAUUACCGAAGCCUAUCAAACUCUGAAUGCCGAAUAAUCAUGCACGGGAGUCAGACUGUGUGAGAUAAGUUUCAUAGUCGAAAGGGAAACAGCCCAGACCUACAGCUAAGGUCCCAAAGUACGUUUAAGUGGAAAACGAUGUGAAAUUGCGUAGACAACCAGGAUGUUGGCUUAGAAGCAGCCAUACAUUAAAAGAGUGCGUAAUAGCUCACUGGUCGAGUGACUUUGCGCGGAAAAUUUAACGGGGCUAAAACGUACACCGAAGCUUAGGCUUGUCACUAUGUGACAGGGGUAGGGGAGCGUUGAAUGAGGGGUGAAGUCGUAGCGGAAGCGACGGUGGACUUCAUUCAAGUGAGAAUGCCGGAAUGAGUAGCGAGAAUUAUGUGAGAAUCAUAAUGGCCGAAAGCCUAAGGUUUUUGGAGGAAGGUUCGUCCGCUCCAAGUAAGUCGGAAGCUAAGGUGAGGCUGAAAAGCGUAGCCGAUGCACAAACGGUUGAAAUUCCGUUACCACAGAAAGAUUUAAACUAAGGGACACUUUUGAAGAGCUGAUGCCGGGUGUUGGUUACCCCGGUCGUAAGGGAACGAAAUUAAGUAGUGAAGUCAGCGUGGAUGAAGGCGAGAAAAGCUUGGUGUAUAUCUUAUGUGUCCGUACCGCAAACCGACACAGGUAGGUAGGAAGAGAAUUCUAAGGCCAACGGGAGAAGGGUAGUUAAGGAACUCGGCAAAAUGUCCCCGUAACUUCGGAAUAAGGGGAGGUUUCUACGGAAACCCGCAGAGAAUAGUCCCAGGCAACUGUUUAUCAAAAACACAGCUCUAUGCUAAAUCGAAAGAUGACGUAUAUGGGGUGACGCCUGCCCGGUGCCGGAAGGUUAAGAGGAGGAGUGAGAGCCCUGAAUCGAAGCCCCGGUAAACGGCGGCCGGAACUAUAACGGUCCUAAGGUAGCGAAAUUCCUUGUCAGGUAAGUUCUGACCCGCACGAAUGGCGUAAUGAUCUGGGAGCUGUCUCAACUGCCCGCCCGGCGAAAUUGUAGUACCGGUGAAGAUGCCGGUUACCCGCGACUAGACGGAAAGACCCCAUGGAGCUUUACUGUAGCUUAAUAUUGGAUUUCGGCAUUUCAUGUACAGGAUAGGUGGGAGACUAGGAAACAUAGGCGUCAGCUUAUGCGGAGUCGUCCUUGGGAUACCACUCUUGGAGUGCUGAAAUUCUAACCUGCAGCCCUGAAUCGGGUUGGGGGACAUUGUUAGGUGGGCAGUUUGACUGGGGCGGUCGCCU
This 2195-nucleotide ribosomal RNA is filed under the name human gut metagenome. RNAcentral describes it as "bacterial LSU rRNA". It matches the Rfam family "Bacterial large subunit ribosomal RNA", at positions 3 to 2288 of the family's 2925-position model. The record is from RNAcentral.